AAAAUAUUCUUGUCAUUGUCAAAUAUUAAGUUUUGUAACGACAUCUAAAUAUCAUUGUCGAUGUCGCAAGACCCAUAUGCUAGCUCUAUUUUUUAAACUCUUGUCACCAUUGCUUCAUGUCUGAAUCAAAACCUCCUCUCCUCCUCUCUUUCUCUUAGAUGAUCACCACCAUUAUAAAUGACACCCCUUCUUUCUCAAUCUUGCUUCCUUGUGCGACCAAUAGUUCUUUACCACGCAAGUUCUCUCUCCGACCUCCAACAAUUACCUAUGGCAUCGAGCUCUCCCUCCAACCUCCCUUCUUGCCUUCACCUCCUACCUCCCUC
Molecule: long non-coding RNA, 323 nt
Filed under: Phoenix dactylifera (date palm)
Lineage: Eukaryota; Viridiplantae; Streptophyta; Magnoliopsida; Arecales; Arecaceae
Description: long non-coding RNA (PDAC_LNC004254)
Source: RNAcentral